Non-coding RNA from Acanthosepion pharaonis, 113 nucleotides. The record is from the annotation of a GenBank genome assembly. Lineage: Eukaryota; Metazoa; Mollusca; Cephalopoda; Sepiida; Sepiidae.
UUACGGCCAUAACACGUUGAAACGCCGAUUCUCGUCUGAUCAUCGAAGUUAAGCAACGUCUGGCCUAGUCAGUACCUAGAUGGAUAACCGAUUGGGAAUAUCAUGUGCUGUAA